This 598-nucleotide ribosomal RNA is filed under the name Ichthyosaura alpestris (Alpine newt). RNAcentral describes it as "partial large subunit ribosomal RNA". It matches the Rfam family "Bacterial large subunit ribosomal RNA", at positions 1796 to 2620 of the family's 2925-position model. The record is from RNAcentral. Lineage: Eukaryota; Metazoa; Chordata; Amphibia; Caudata; Salamandridae.
UCGCCUGUUUUUCAAAAACAUCGCCUCUUGCUAAGUAUAGUAUAAGAGGUCCCGCCUGCCCAGUGAUCAUUUUUUAACGGCCGCGGUAUUAUGACCGUGCAAAGGUAGCGUAAUCACUUGUCUUUUAAAUAAAGACCCGUAUGAAAGGCAAAACGAGAGUUCAACUGUCUCUUUAAUCUUAUCAGUGAAAUUUAUUUCUCCGUGCAGAAGCGGAGAUAACCAUAUAAGACGAGAAGACCCUAUGGAGCUUUAAAUACAGAACCAACUACAACCACAUUUUUAGCCAACAGGCAAAAAAUUAAUAAGUGUAGUCGUGGUUUAGAUUUUCGGUUGGGGCGACCGCGGAGUAAAAAUUAACCUCCACGACAUAUAAUUUAGAACGACACUUCGAAAACUAAAACAUUUACUUUAAUGACCCACUAAGUGAUCAACGAACCAAGUUACCCUAGGGAUAACAGCGCAAUCCUUUCUAAGAGUCCAUAUCGACGAAUGGGUUUACGACCUCGAUGUUGGAUCAGGACACCCAAAUGGUGCAGCCGCUAUUAAAGGUUCGUUUGUUCAACGAUUAAAGUCCUACGUGAUCUGAGUUCAGACCGGA